Molecule: ribosomal RNA, 698 nt
Filed under: bacterium enrichment culture clone MGLB2-14
Lineage: Bacteria
Description: bacterial SSU rRNA
Rfam family: Bacterial small subunit ribosomal RNA
Source: RNAcentral
AACGAACGCUGGCGGCAGGCUUAACACAUGCAAGUCGAGCGCCCCGCAAGGGGAGCGGCAGACGGGUGAGUAACGCGUGGGAAUCUACCGAGCCCUACGGAAUAACGCAUGGAAACGUGUGCUAAUACCGUAUACGCCCUUCGGGGGAAAGAUUUAUCGGGGUUUGAUGAGCCCGCGUUGGAUUAGCUAGUUGGUGGGGUAAAGGCCUACCAAGGCGACGAUCCAUAGCUGGUCUGAGAGGAUGAUCAGCCACAUUGGGACUGAGACACGGCCCAAACUCCUACGGGAGGCAGCAGUGGGGAAUAUUGGACAAUGGGCGCAAGCCUGAUCCAGCCAUGCCGCGUGAGUGAUGAAGGCCUUAGGGUUGUAAAGCUCUUUCACCGAUGAAGAUAAUGACGGUAGUCGGAGAAGAAGCCCCGGCUAACUUCGUGCCAGCAGCCGCGGUAAUACGAAGGGGGCUAGCGUUGUUCGGAAUUACUGGGCGUAAAGCGCACGUAGGCGGAUAUUUAAGUCAGGGGUGAAAUCCCAGAGCUCAACUCUGGAACUGCCUUUGAUACUGGGUAUCUUGAGUAUGGAAGAGGUAAGUGGAAUUCCGAGUGUAGAGGUGAAAUUCGUAGAUAUUCGGAGGAACACCAGUGGCGAAGGCGGCUUACUGGUCCAUUACUGACGCUGAGGUGCGAAAGCGUGGGGAGCAAACA